CCUACGGGCGGCUGCAGUGAGGAAUAUUGGUCAAUGGGCGCAAGCCUGAACCAGCCAAGUAGCGUGAAGGAUGACUGCCCUACGGGUUGUAAACUUCUUUUAUAAAGGAAUAAAGUGAGGCACGUGUGCCUUUUUAUAUAUACUUUAUUAAUAAGGAUCAGCUAACUCCGUGCCAGCAGCCGCGGUAAUACGGAGGAUCCGAGCGUUAUCCGGAUUUAUUGGGUUUAAAGGGAGCGUAGAUGGGUUGUUAAGUCAGUUGUGAACGUUUGCGGCUCAACCGUAAAAUUGCAAUUGAUACUGGCAGUCUUGAGUAAAGUUGAGGUAGGCGGAAUUCGUGGUGUAGCGGUGAAAUGCGUAGAUAUCACGAAGAACUCCGAUUGCGAAGGCAGCUUACUAAACUGCAACUGACAUUGAUGCUCGAAAGUGUGGGUAGCAAACAGGAUUAGAUACCCCUGUAGUC
Molecule: ribosomal RNA, 460 nt
Filed under: uncultured bacterium
Lineage: Bacteria
Description: partial 16S ribosomal RNA
Rfam family: Bacterial small subunit ribosomal RNA
Source: RNAcentral